This 466-nucleotide ribosomal RNA is filed under the name uncultured bacterium. RNAcentral describes it as "partial 16S ribosomal RNA". It matches the Rfam family "Bacterial small subunit ribosomal RNA", at positions 29 to 507 of the family's 1533-position model. The record is from RNAcentral.
ACGAACGCUGGCGGCGUGCUUCACCCAUGCCAGUCGCACGGAAAGGCCUCUUUCGGGGGGUACUCGAGUGGCGAACGGGUGAGUAACACGUGAGUAACCUGCCCUUGACUUUGGGAUAACUUCAGGAAACUGGGGCUAAUACCGGAUAGGAGCUCCUGCUGCAUGGUGGGGGUUGGAAAGUUUCGGCGGUUGGGGAUGGACUCGCGGCUUAUCAGCUUGUUGGUGGGGUAGUGGCUUACCAAGGCUUUGACGGGUAGCCGGCCUGAGAGGGUGACCGGCCACAUUGGGACUGAGAUACGGCCCAGACUCCUACGGGAGGCAGCAGUGGGGAAUAUUGCACAAUGGGUGGAAGCCUGAUGCAGCAACGCCGUGUGCGGGAUGACGGCCUUCGGGUUGUAAACCGCUUUCGCUCAUGACGAAGCUUUGUGUGACGGUAGUGGGUAAAGAAGCACCGGCUAACUACGUG